RNAcentral lists this non-coding RNA (24 nucleotides) under Arabidopsis thaliana (thale cress). Lineage: Eukaryota; Viridiplantae; Streptophyta; Magnoliopsida; Brassicales; Brassicaceae. The record is from RNAcentral.
UACAUUAACGGUUUAACUAACGGC